Polypterus senegalus (gray bichir) is the source of this 894-nucleotide long non-coding RNA. RefSeq lists it as uncharacterized. The record is from RefSeq and is a predicted model, not a curated record. The transcript has 4 exons. NCBI's taxonomy places the organism in Eukaryota, Metazoa, Chordata, Cladistia, Polypteriformes, Polypteridae.
AGCAUAUCGCAUUACAACUCUGUCACAUCCCACUGUUGAUGACAUCGCUCUUUCUGUAUUUACUGCCUCAUUGGCUCUAACGGCUGUUUAGUUGUUAUUUUUAUAAGUGCUGGCACAUUAAUAAAGCUGCUGAGGGUGAACUGGCAGGAUUGGAUUUCAGAAGCAGAAUAAAGAGUGUGCUGGUGUUACUGGUAAUCAAGAAGGCAUUGUCACCAACAAGUGCUGAUGACAGCUCAUCUGUGACAUGAUUCUGGUGACCGAGAGGUUUAAGGUUCUAUGAAUGUGAAAUCCUGGAAAGCUGUCCUCUAGGAGCCUGAAGCUUUGGUUCUGAAGUCAUCAAUUAUCAUCCUGUGAGGAACACAUGAACGGUACAGAUGGCGCACAUUUGGAGAACAAUUGUCUUUUUAUUACCCGUACUUCAUGCCCAAGGUGAGUGAUGAAUGUAAUUAUAUCAAAACGUAUCUGCUAAGCGGCUAUGGGUAUCUGGCGCCUGAGGAGCUCCAUAGGCGGCUAACCCAAUGCAGGCAUUGCAGGUGACCUCAAAACACACGGUAGCACUGAUGAUGAAUCACAACCUGGACGGCCAUUUAUGUCAUUCCUGAGGGUGUCCGCUCUUGUAGGAAGAGGUCAUCAUGUAGCGGUGCUACUGAGGAUUGAAACUUCAGCUCCCAGCAGUCCCUGCAGUGGCUCUGAUUGGUCGUCUGCUGAGCGUGCAGGGGCUGCUGGGGACAAGGAGGCCAGCGUGAUAUUUAAAAGGUGGCCAGUUCUACAGAGAGGAGGAAGUCCUUUGUGUUUCGUGUCUGGAGUGACCUGUCUUUUUGCCUUCCCGUUUUACUACCCGUGGAUUCUUGUUUUGUCCUCAAUCGUCUCCUGGUUUGGGUGUAUGGACUGUCU